GAUGAACGCUGGCGGCGUGCCUAAUACAUGCCAGUCGAGCGAACGGACGAGAAGCUUGCUUUUCUGAUGUUAGCGGCGGACGGGUGAGUAACACGUGGAUAACCUACCUAUAAGACUGGGAUAACUUCGGGAAACCGGAGCUAAUACCGGAUAAUAUUUUGAACCGCAUGGUUCAAAAGUGAAAGACGGUCUUGCUGUCACUUAUAGAUGGAUCCGCGCUGCAUUAGCUAGUUGGUAAGGUAACGGCUUACCAAGGCAACGAUGCAUAGCCGACCUGAGAGGGUGAUCGGCCACACUGGAACUGAGACACGGUCCAGACUCCUACGGGAGGCAGCAGUAGGGAAUAUUCCGCAAUGGGCGAAAGCCUGACGGAGCAACGCCGCGUGAGUGAUGAAGGUCUUCGGAUCGUAAAGCUCUGUUAUUAGGGAAGAACAGAUGUGUAAGUAACUGUGCACAUCUUGACGGUACCUAAUCAGAAAGCCACGGCUAACUACGUG
RNAcentral lists this ribosomal RNA (497 nucleotides) under uncultured bacterium. RNAcentral's name for it is "partial 16S ribosomal RNA". It matches the Rfam family "Bacterial small subunit ribosomal RNA", at positions 28 to 507 of the family's 1533-position model. The record is from RNAcentral.